GAUGAAGAACGUAGCGAAAUGCGAUAAGUAAUGUGAAUCGCAGAAUUCAGUGAAUCAUCGAAUCUUUGAACGCACAUUGCGCCCGCCAGUAUUCUGGCGGGCAUGCCUGUUCGAGCGUCAUUUCAACCAUCAAGCCCUGCUUGCGUUGGGGUCCUGCGGCUGCCCGCAGGCCCUGAAAACCAGUGGCGGGCUCGCUAGUCACACCGAGCGCAGUAAUACAUCUCGCUUUGGGCGUGCGGCGGGUUCUUGCCGUUAAACACCCCCUUUUUACCAAGGUUGACCUCGGAUCAGGUAGGAAUAUCCGCUGAACUUAAGCAUAUCAAUAAGCGGAGGA
This 334-nucleotide unclassified non-coding RNA is filed under the name soil metagenome. RNAcentral describes it as "partial contains 5.8S ribosomal RNA, internal transcribed spacer 2, and large subunit ribosomal RNA". The stretch from base 1 to 120 matches the Rfam family "5.8S ribosomal RNA", at positions 35 to 154 of the family's 154-position model. The record is from RNAcentral.